AACGAACGCUGGCGGCAUGCCUAACACAUGCAAGUCGAACGAGACCUUCGGGUCUAGUGGCGCACGGGUGCGUAACGCGUGGGAACCUGCCCUUAGGUUCGGAAUAACUCCCCGAAAGGGGUGCUAAUACCGGAUAAUGUCUUCGGACCAAAGAUUUAUUGCCUUUGGAUGGGCCCGCGUUGGAUUAGCUAGUUGGUAGGGUAAAAGCCUACCAAGGCGACGAUCCAUAGCUGGUCUGAGAGGAUGAUCAGCCACACUGGGACUGAGACACGGCCCAGACUCCUACGGGAGGCAGCAGUGGGGAAUAUUGGACAAUGGGCGAAAGCCUGAUCCAGCAAUGCCGCGUGAGUGAUGAAGGCCUUAGGGUUGUAAAGCUCUUUUAGCCGGGAUGAUAAUGACAGUACCGGGAGAAUAAGCUCCGGCUAACUCCGUG
Molecule: ribosomal RNA, 433 nt
Filed under: uncultured bacterium
Lineage: Bacteria
Description: partial 16S ribosomal RNA
Rfam family: Bacterial small subunit ribosomal RNA
Source: RNAcentral